GGCUUCGUUCUCACUCACGAUCACGAGCUUCAUCUCCUUCAUUUAAACAUUCAAAUCUCAAACCAAACCUACACCACCACCAAAUAUCACUCUUCCUUCUCCAACAAUCUCCCAAAGGCGAAGAAAUGAUCUCGCUAUCGAAUCAAUGGCGGUCGAAGAAUCUUCUUCAACCGCUUUUUCACUUUCCUCUGAGCUUGCUUCCGUGAUUUUCCCCUCGCUUGCUUACUCCAACACACUCUCUUCAGUUCUGGAUACAAUGUGCAAGUGUUUGUUGAAGAUAAUGAGUCAGAGGAGAGGCUUGUGAAUCGAUUUAGGAGAGAAGUGAUGAGAACUGGUGUUAUACAGGAAUGUAAGCGAAGGAGAUACUUUGAGAAUCAAAAAGAUGAGAAGAAACGUCGAGGACCAU
This is an RNA transcript of Arabidopsis thaliana (thale cress), 406 nucleotides long. RefSeq lists it as uncharacterized. The transcript has a single exon. Lineage: Eukaryota; Viridiplantae; Streptophyta; Magnoliopsida; Brassicales; Brassicaceae. The record is from RefSeq.